This 497-nucleotide ribosomal RNA is filed under the name uncultured bacterium. RNAcentral describes it as "partial 16S ribosomal RNA". It matches the Rfam family "Bacterial small subunit ribosomal RNA", at positions 28 to 507 of the family's 1533-position model. The record is from RNAcentral.
GAUGAACGCUGGCGGCGUGCCUAAUACAUGCAAGUCGAGCGAACAGACGAGGAGCUUGCUCCUUCGACGUUAGCGACGGACGGGUGAGUAACACGUAGGUAACCUACCUAUAAGACUGGGAUAACUUCGGGAAACCGGAGCUAAUACCGGAUAAUAUUUCGAACCGCAUGGUUCGAUAGUGAAAGAUGGCUUUGCUAUCACUUAUAGAUGGACCUGCGCCGUAUUAGCUAGUUGGUAAGGUAACGGCUUACCAAGGCAACGAUACGUAGCCGACCUGAGAGGGUGAUCGGCCACACUGGAACUGAGACACGGUCCAGACUCCUACGGGAGGCAGCAGUAGGGAAUCUUCCGCAAUGGGCGAAAGCCUGACGGAGCAACGCCGCGUGAGUGAUGAAGGUCUUCGGAUCGUAAAACUCUGUUAUUAGGGAAGAACAAACGUGUAAGUAACUGUGCACGUCUUGACGGUACCUAAUCAGAAAGCCACGGCUAACUACGUG